CUGGCCAUGGAAGUCUUCACGUUAUAACAUGACUGCAGGAAGUGACGAUUCAGAGGCAGACGAGGAAGCUCGCUAUGUUUGAUGACAUAUCCAGAACCGUUCUGUGCUUGCGCUCGGCCUACCCAACGUUUUUGCCCCUCCUAAAGCCUCUGAGCAACGUUGUCGUAGGGAGUGUUCCCGUCUUUCAAGAGGGGAAAAAAGCCUUGCUGUUCGUUCUUCUGGUUCCCUCUGGCGCCUUAGGAUGGGUGAUGAUACUAAACCAGAGCGAAAGGUCAUUGAACCUGUCCUGGAGAGCUCCUCAGGAUACCAGGAAAAGGAACCGGCACUCCGAGAAACUAUGAAACAGUGAAUCUGCUCCCUGCGGAAACGCACUGGAAAACAGGGUGCUUGGAAGCAACCAGCCAGCGGUCUCCGACCAGGCAGCGAGGAGCUCUUGGUGGGUUUGUCGCUCCAGGCGUGGGCCCGCGAUCGGCCGCGCCAGCGAUGCUGCUGGAAAUCAGAGUCUUUUAGAGAAGCUUUCCUGAAGAGGUCACCCUGAUGUUACCUGGAGAGAUAGCAACAACGGCCUGUUCUCACGGCAGACUUCCAGCACCCGGAGCUAAUUCCCCAUGCUGCUUCAGGCUCCUUUCCUGACCCAAGUUUUUAGCACAGCGUGUAUUAUGGCAUUCCUUCCUGUGGCGACUGGCCAAGGCAACGAAAUCCUGCUCUGACUAACCCUGAUGCUCCUUUUCACCUCGCUGGAACCUGUGCGCUAGCUGCUGUCUCCUGCGCCUCCUUCCUCAGACCGUUCCUCCUGCACAACAGGAAUCCUCUCAGUGCUGGAGCGGUUACUUAGUCUUCCCAGUGGCUGGGGCUUUUCAAACGCUGCUUUCGUCAACAGUUAUGCUUACCUUUGAAAAUGGUGAGAUUGAAGCAAUUGUACUGUUAAUUUUUUUGGACUGCUCUCUUGCUCUUGGGUUGUUCUUCAUUUAUGUUUUGGACUAUAUACAGCAUUCAAGGUGAGUGCCAUUCUUCCCCUGAACGCAAUGGCAUUAAGAGACUAUCUGUUGGCUAUGGUCAGCUCCUUCAGCGUUCUCACUGUUGGGCUGUUCAAAGGUUCCUUUUGCUACUUUUGACUCUAAUAUCACUGAUCGCAAUUGCUUUGACCUUGGAGAACACAGAAGUAACUGGCUCCUGCGUAGCAACCGCUAUCUGAUUUGUUAUUCCUCCUUUGCUGGUUAACCUGGGCUGAGAAGGUGCCCAGCUGUAUGCCAUGUUUGUAUAUGGCAUGUCUCUCCAUUUCAGCACGAUCUCUGGAUAACACUAGUCAUCAUUUUUGCUGUAUUUGCUGUAAUUACUGUCACAACAUUGUAUGUAGCACAUCCUAUUGAGUAAAUGGUUACUAACAUUAUAUAAUUGAUGCAUAAAGAAAGUAAAGAAGUGAUUAUCAACGCCCAGGAAAAUUCAUAACUUAUUACUAAAAACGGAAGUGUGACAUCUCACGACUUAUUAACUGGUUCUUGGUCAGGCGCCCAUUACACAGAAUUUCAAUGUGGUAUAUAUUUAUUUUAAGUCAUAACCUAUUUUUGCCCUUAGGAGGAUUUUGCAAACAGAACUCUAUGUUGCACUAUACCCGUUGUGUAAACAUUAGUAGUAGCAUAAAACAUGUUCUAACCAACUGCUUAGGAAGAAGGGUGAA
Long non-coding RNA from Struthio camelus australis, 1678 nucleotides. RefSeq lists it as uncharacterized. The record is from RefSeq and is a predicted model, not a curated record. NCBI's taxonomy places the organism in Eukaryota, Metazoa, Chordata, Aves, Struthioniformes, Struthionidae.